UUGGCUUGGAAUUUCGUAAUUGUUUUGCAGGGUUACGUCGGUAGGAAGCUAUUUUUCUUCAUCCAUGAAGUAUGGUCAAACAUGCUUGAGUAUGGUGGUGCUGGUGCCGUAGGCCAGCUAGGCAACAGGAUGUAGACAUCCUUGAUGGACUGUGUUUUUGUAGAAUACCAUAGAGCCACUCUGCCCAUGGAGGAGGAUAACCCUGGAGCAUACUGAUCAAUGAGCUGAGGGGUAAACGCAGACGAACUUCACGGGAUCGAAGGAUUGGUGUUUGCUAAAAUUUUCACAACAACCCUGCAGAGUUUCAUCAUGAUUUCACACACCAUUGUUUUCUUUUCUUUAGUUCCAAUAACAAUAAAGUUGCAAUGCGGAUGGGGGAGAUGCUUUUGGAACGGAAAUAAUACUGACCAGUCGCGAAUCCCUGGAAGAUGUCCCAGUCGGUAAACACAAUGGGUUUUAAAGGCGAUUUUGUGCAAGAAUACCACCGUCAGUGUAUAUUGAGGAAGUGAAAAUGUUUUCACUUGCUGAUAGUUUUUUUUAGGCUGGUAGCUUAUGUCUGUAAUGCCGUCCUUAAUUUACAUUUAUUUUUGUAACUACCUCAAAAUUCUAUUGGACCAAUGCACCAGCAUCAUCAACGGUAUUAUUAAAAGA
Molecule: long non-coding RNA, 651 nt
Organism: Asterias rubens (European starfish)
Lineage: Eukaryota; Metazoa; Echinodermata; Asteroidea; Forcipulatida; Asteriidae
Exons: 2
Source: RefSeq, a predicted model, not a curated record